This 525-nucleotide ribosomal RNA is filed under the name Phengodidae sp. UPOL 001240. RNAcentral describes it as "partial 16S ribosomal RNA". The stretch from base 389 to 525 matches the Rfam family "Archaeal large subunit ribosomal RNA", at positions 2542 to 2679 of the family's 2987-position model. Lineage: Eukaryota; Metazoa; Arthropoda; Insecta; Coleoptera; Phengodidae. The record is from RNAcentral.
CAUCUCUUUAUGAUUAAUGAUUUAAGGUUUAAUCUGCUCAAUGAUUAAGAAUAUUAAAUUGCUGCGGUAAAUUAACUGUACAAAGGUAGCAUAAUAAAUUGUUUUUUUAUUGGAAACUUGAAUGAAUGAUUGGACAAAAAAUUUUCUGUCUCAUUUUGAAUUUUUUAAUUUUACUUAAAAGUUAAAAGGCUUUUAUAAAUUUAAGGGACGAGAAGACCCUGUAGAGUUUUAUUUAAUAUUAAUUAUUUGUUUUAUAUUAUUUAUUUUUUUAAUUGUUUAUUAAAUUUAACUGGGGUUGUUGAUUAAUUAAUUAAAAUUAAUUAUUUAUGUAUCAUUAAUUUGUGAAUAUUUAUUAUUUAUUUUUGAAGUUAAAAUAAAUUACCUCAGGGAUAACAGCGUAAUCUUUAUUUGAAGUUCAUAUUUUAAUAAAGGAUUUCGACCUCGAUGUUGGAUUAAAAUUUGAAUUUAAUGGAGAUAUUAAAUUUCUUAGUCUGUUCGACUAUUAAAAUUUUACAUGAUCUGAGU